GAUGAACGCUAGCGACAGGCUUAACACAUGCAAGUCGAGGGGCAGCGGGGUGUGGCAACACAUCGCCGGCGACCGGCGCACGGGUGAGUAACGCGUAUACAACUUGCCUAUCAGAGGGGGAUAACCCGUCGAAAGACGGACUAAUACCGCAUGAAACAGGGGUCCCGCAUGGGGAUAUUUGUUAAAGAUUUUAUCGCUGAUAGAUAGGCAUGCGUUCCAUUAGGUAGUUGGUGGGGCAACGGCCCACCAAGCCGACGAUGGAUAGGGGGUCCUGAGAGGAAGGUCCCCCCACACUGGUACUGAGACACGGACCAGACUCCUACGGGAGGCAGCAGUGAGGAAUAUUGGGUCAAUGGGCAGAGCCUGAACCAGCCAAGUCGCGUGAGGGACGAAGGCCCUA
RNAcentral lists this ribosomal RNA (400 nucleotides) under uncultured bacterium. RNAcentral describes it as "bacterial SSU rRNA". It matches the Rfam family "Bacterial small subunit ribosomal RNA", at positions 28 to 419 of the family's 1533-position model. The record is from RNAcentral.